GUUUGGACUAUCUAUGACUGAAUGUUAUGGAGUUAUGGGGUAAAAGGUGCAACAAUGGUGACAAAGGCCAGUUUCAGUUUGUACAGGGGUCAAAGUUAAAGUUGCUCCAAUUUUUUAAACAGUGAUGCACAUUACUGGUCGAGUUAAUCAGGUUUUAAAAAGUAACGGUUUGCAUCAUGUGUCAUGCUUAGUUCAUGUUACAGGGUAACAUAUAGAUGGUGGUUGACCA
Long non-coding RNA from Thalassophryne amazonica, 229 nucleotides. RefSeq lists it as uncharacterized. The record is from RefSeq and is a predicted model, not a curated record. The transcript is spliced from 3 exons. Lineage: Eukaryota; Metazoa; Chordata; Actinopteri; Batrachoidiformes; Batrachoididae.